Molecule: non-coding RNA, 922 nt
Filed under: Eurygonias hylacanthus
Lineage: Eukaryota; Metazoa; Echinodermata; Asteroidea; Valvatida; Odontasteridae
Source: RNAcentral
CAACCGAUUUGGUCCUGGUCCUUAUAUUAAUUAUUUCUACAUACGAUACAUGCAAGUAUAUAACACAACAGUGAGUACAAGAAACUGCUUUUCUUAAAAGAAUUAGCACUCAGCCAAAAGCAUCAGAUAAAUAAAAAUUGUCCAUGACGCUCAGAAAGCCACAACUGCAGUACCUAACAUUAUACAAUAAGCAAAAGCUUGAUAUAGCUAUAGAAAAGAUAGCCGGUAAAUUAUGUGCCAGCCACCGCGGUUAUACAUAAGGCCUUAAUUAAUUUUUUUUUCACGGUAAAAAGGUGGUUAGAAGACCCUCGUAAAGUAAACUCAAACUUUAGCAGUAAUAAGCUCACAGAACAUUUAUUUUAAGAAACAAAAUCACUUUAUCCAUAUUUUCGAAGCCACUAAAGCUCAGCCAUAAACUGGGAUUAGAUACCCCACUAUACGAGCCGUAAAACCUCAAAACACCUGAGAACUACGAACUAAGGUUUAAAACUCAAAGGACUUGGCGGAUUUUUAGAUCUCCCUGGAGGAGCUUGCUAUCGAACCGAUAACCCACGAAAAACCUCACCAGCGCCUUGAAAAUUCAACUUGUAUACCAUCGUCGUCAGUCUACCUCCCAAGAGAAGUAUACUAAACGGUAAAUUAAACCCAAUACGUCAGAUCGAGGUGCAGUUAAUGGCCUGGGGAUAUGUGAGCUACAAUAUUUUACCAACCCACCCACUUUAUUACCACUUUGGAUGACCCAGUGAAAGAAAAUCAGAAACAGGAUUCAGUAGUAAUAACUACUAGAAACUAGUUAUGAAACAAACUAAGCUCUAAAAUACGCACACAUCGCCCGUCACUCUCGUCGCUCAGAGGAGAAAAGUCGUAACAAAGUAGGCGUAUUGGAAAAUGUGCCUGGAACUCAUUAAUUUUUGUAGUUGAA